AUGCUUAAGAUGUUUGGUAUCUAUACGCUUGAGGCUAUCAUGAUUCAUGUACUAGGCUUGGUAUUCAACACUCUUCAGGAAUCAUCCGCAGUUAAGGCAGCUAGAUCUGUAGAUCAACUUAAUUCAACUGUACGAGAACAAGCAAGGUUUCUACAAUACAAAGCACCAGGUAGUGGUAAGGUGGAAGCAGUACUCACUAGUAAGGUAGAAUCAGUUAAGGAUGUUGUUCAGCCCAAAGGUGCUAGCAAAAAAGAGAAAAAGAAAAGAAUUCAGUGUCAUUAUGAUAUCGGGAAAUACUUGCUCCAAUUCAUGAUUGAAAGAAAUGUUCUACGUAUAUCAACAGAUAGGGGAGUAACAAAAGAAGAUCCAGUGCUGGUUCUUAAGAAAGGUCAAGGGUAUAUAGAGAAUUCUUGUUAUGUUAUGUGCAAUUUGAACAUAAAUCUGCUCCCUAUCAAACUCAAUCUUCCGAUGCUUUGCAAACCCUUGGAUUGGCAACCAGCAGAGAGGGGGUCUGAUCCUAAUACAUUAUCGGAUCUGAUAGGAGGUUACUUAUGCAAACCCACGGGGGAUAUCUAG
Molecule: ribosomal RNA, 576 nt
Filed under: Triticum aestivum (bread wheat)
Lineage: Eukaryota; Viridiplantae; Streptophyta; Magnoliopsida; Poales; Poaceae
Description: partial small subunit ribosomal RNA
Source: RNAcentral